CCCUUAGACGUUCUGGGCCGCACGCGCGCUACACUGACCAGUGCAACAAGCAUCCGUCCUUGGCCGACAGGCUCGGGCAAUCUUUGAACGCUGGUCGUGAUGGGGAUAGACUUUUGCAAUUUUUGGUCUUCAACGAGGAAUUCCUAGUAAACGCAAGUCAUCAACUUACAUUGAUUACGUCCCUGCCCUUUGUACACACCGCCCGUCGCACCUACCGAUUGAAUGGUCCGGUGAAGCCUCCGGAUUGGCGCGCACCUCGGUGCCGCCGAGAAGUUGGCUAAACCUUACCAUUUAGAGGAAGGUGAAGUCGUAACA
RNAcentral lists this ribosomal RNA (315 nucleotides) under uncultured eukaryote. RNAcentral's name for it is "partial 18S ribosomal RNA". It matches the Rfam family "Eukaryotic small subunit ribosomal RNA", at positions 1470 to 1796 of the family's 1831-position model. The record is from RNAcentral.